This 468-nucleotide ribosomal RNA is filed under the name uncultured bacterium. Its description in RNAcentral is "bacterial SSU rRNA". It matches the Rfam family "Bacterial small subunit ribosomal RNA", at positions 355 to 839 of the family's 1533-position model. The record is from RNAcentral.
UGGGGAAUCUUGCACAAUGGGCGAAAGCCUGAUGCAGCAACGCCGCGUGCGGGAAGACAGCCCUAGGGUUGUAAACCGCUUUCAGCAGGGAAGAAACUGACGGUACCUGCAGAAGAAGAUGCGGCCAACUACGUGCCAGCAGCCGCGGUGACACGUAGGCAUCAAGCGUUAUCCGGAUUUAUUGGGCGUAAAGAGCUCGUAGGCGGUUCGGUAAGUCGGGUGUGAAAACUCUGGGCUCAACCCAGAGAGGCCACUCGAUACUGCUGUGACUAGAGUGCGGUAGGGGAGCGGGGAAUUCCUGGUGUAGCGGUGAAAUGCGCAGAUAUCAGGAGGAACACCAGUGGCGAAGGCGCCGCUCUGGGCCGUAACUGACGCUGAGGAGCGAAAGCAUGGGUAGCAAACAGGAUUAGAUACCCUGGUAGUCCACGCCGUAAACGAUGAGCACUCGGUGCCGCGGGUAUCGACCCC